This 2375-nucleotide long non-coding RNA is filed under the name Aquilegia coerulea. Its description in RNAcentral is "long non-coding RNA (ACOE_LNC000146)". The record is from RNAcentral. Lineage: Eukaryota; Viridiplantae; Streptophyta; Magnoliopsida; Ranunculales; Ranunculaceae.
AUGCGCGUCAUUGGUACAAUUGGGUAAGAAAAUAAAUUGCUUCCAAGCUACAAACAAGUAACAUAUAGUGAUAUAUAUACAACUUAUUCGUUGUAUUAAACACAGGUAUGUAUCCUCUAAAAUCGGACGGGUUCUCCUAUGGUGUAACGCUCUUGCAAGUAAUAACUGGGAAACUACCCGACGCUGCCAUUGAUGUUUCUUUAAUCUUCUCUGCUACUGGUCCAUGCUUAAAACACAUUGAAAGAAAAAAAACAGAGCACACAUAUAUGGUUCUAACAUCGUUUUAGAGUUUUACAUUCAUCUAGGUUAAAAUUCUAGGAAAAGAAACUUCUGAAAAUCUCUUCAAAUUGAUGCAGGUAAGGAUGAAGACCUCGAUGAGGAAGAAGAUCUAACAUAAAUCGAUCUCAGUUUUCUGAAAGUGCACUAGCAGAUGCUAGACUGGUAAGUCCUUUUCUUUUGUGUUCAAUCAAUAUAGCUGGGGAUUGGAGGUGGACAUUUUUCUGUAGUAAUUUAACUCUAUGUUAAGAAACUUCAACAUUAGGUUUGUUUUAAUCAAUGUUUUUGCAACAAACAAUUAUAUCAGUGUUUAUUCUUUUUUUUUUUUUGUGCUUUAUUUACUUAUAUAAUAGAAGAUGUUAUUCAGGAUCCUUUAACUUAAUUUUACUUUUGAUCGCCUUGGAGUUUUAACAUCAAACUCAAAAUGAGUGUUCUUAGUAGGAAAAAUCAAUUGAUUUAGUUAUAAAAGGAAAUUGAAAUGACACACCUACUAUUUGUAUCAACCUGGCCAAAAAAAGAGGGAGAAAGAGGUUCCAUGACUUAGUUUGUCUUAAAUGUUGAUGCAAGUGAGAAAUAUCAAUUGUUGAUGUAUGAUUUAAGUCCUUAUAUAAAUCGUACUGAUACAUACUUAUAAUGAGUACAAAGUAUCUAAAACGGAUACUAUUCCAUUUUAAUUUUCUUUUUAGCUUGAUAGAACGUUAUUAAUAAUGUGUGAAUCUAUGAAGUGAUACUAAUACAAUUUUGAUUUAUUUUUUGUGUAUUUCAGGCUUUUUUGAUAUUCCUAAAUAUACCUUUUUAAGUGUUGUUUUGUGGAAUUCAUGUGGAUGGAUGAUGUAUGUCAUUAAGCAACUUCAGAGAAAGAAAGCAACUAAGGGGACUACAAUACCUAUCAUGACACCCAGUUGCAACCCAAGACAACUGUACAAUAGUGACAAGUCUGGAACAUAAGAUGGUUCUUGGAUUGACAAUACAGUGAAGAAAAGAAUGCUGUUGCAGCUCUUUUAGCCCCAUAGGCUAAGGUAGUAUAUUUAACUUGCAUAGUCAUCUUUUAUUUAGUUGUAGUUUGUGUUUGCUCUUUAGAUUUGUUUUGAGAUAAUUGUAAUCAUUUCUGUGUUGGAUUUAUAUAUGUUUGAUUCUUAUGCAUGAUGAUGGUGAGUAGUUUAAUAAAGUUUUUAUGAAACUUUUGAUAUUUCGUUUUGAUUAUGGGUAAGCAAAAGCUUCCAGAGAUUCACAGGAACACAUUGGCUUUUAGUUUCAUGUUGGCUUUUAGUUUCAUGAUGGGUUCAUGUUGGCUUCUAGAUUCAACUCUAGAUAAGUCAAUGAUAUUGUUUCAUAACAACAUGAUUUCUUCAUACUUCAAGAUGGAAGAUGGAUUAAAACUGAUUUUUGUUUUUUUUUUGAUGUUAAUGUUACAUUUUGAUUUUUACAAAGUUUUUUUUUUUGUUCUAAAUUGGUAAACAUCAGUGUAAUUCAUUGCUUAAUUUUUGUUUUUCUGUAAUGAAUAUAUCACCUUUUAAAUAAGAAGGCCUAUGCCUUUACCUGAAAUGAAGCCUCCAGGUUCCAUUCUUCUGAACGUAUAUAAUUUUUUAAGCUAACUCAAUGGGCUGACCUGACUCUCUUUCUAAAGAGGAGUUAGUCAUCACUUUAUGAAUCAGAAGAAGUUUGGAUUUUAUGUGCUUCAACUUACUAAUAUUUGUGGGUAAAUAUAUUUUGUUUCUCACAUGACUAUGCAAUAGAGAAAUAAUUUUCAGGAAAAAAAAGGACAAGCUGGAGAUGGGAAAAAGUCGUUGUGUUCAGAUGUCCUAUUAUGCUUCUUUUAUAUGAGUUCAUGCCAGGCUGAACAAUGUAUAUGACAGGGUGCAGUUCAGCAAAUUCUGCAGGGUACCCUGUCAUACACAUAAGCAAGGGAAGGAAGUAAGACUACAAAGGAUCAACACCACGACAGGAAUGUAGUCAGCAGCAAAAUAGGGACUGUCCUGGAGCCACAUAUGAUCAUUAAUGACUCAUACAUUAUUAUGUACUCACUAUUUUUGAGUUUGUUUAACUUUUUGGGUGAACUAGACACAUUCGAACUGAGAAACAUGUAGUCUUUAUAAGUC